Molecule: transfer RNA, 73 nt
Filed under: Salmo salar (Atlantic salmon)
Lineage: Eukaryota; Metazoa; Chordata; Actinopteri; Salmoniformes; Salmonidae
Rfam family: tRNA
About the family: Transfer RNA (tRNA) molecules are approximately 80 nucleotides in length. Their secondary structure includes four short double-helical elements and three loops (D, anti-codon, and T loops). Further hydrogen bonds mediate the characteristic L-shaped molecular structure. tRNAs have two regions of fundamental functional importance: the anti-codon, which is responsible for specific mRNA codon recognition, and the 3' end, to which the tRNAs corresponding amino acid is attached (by aminoacyl-tRNA synthetases). tRNAs cope with the degeneracy of the genetic code in two manners: having more than one tRNA (with a specific anti-codon) for a particular amino acid; and 'wobble' base-pairing, i.e. permitting non-standard base-pairing at the 3rd anti-codon position.
Source: Rfam by way of RNAcentral
AUCCCUGUAGCUCAGUUGGUAGAGCAUGGUGUUUGCAAUAUCAGGGUUGUGGGUUCGAUUCCCACGGGGGGCC